CGGGAGGCAGCAGUGGGGAAUAUUGGACAAUGGGCGCAAGCCUGAUCCAGCCAUGCCGCGUGGAUGAAGAAGGCCCUAGGGUUGUAAAGUCCUUUCACCGCCGAGGAUAAUGACGGUAGGCGGAGAAGAAGCCCCGGCUAAUUUCGUGCCAGCAGCCGCGGUAAUACGAAAGGGGCUAGCGUUGUUCGGAAUUACUGGGCGUAAAGCGCGCGUAGGCGGCCUUGUAAGUUGGGGGUGAAAUCCCGGGGCUCAACCCCGGAACUGCCUCCAAAACUAUAAAGCUAGAGGAUGUGAGAGGAUAGUGGAAUUCCGAGUGUAGAGGUGAAAUUCGUAGAUAUUCGGAAGAACACCAGUGGCGAAGGCGACUGUCUGGCACAUUUCUGACGCUGAGGUGCGGAAGCGUGGGGAGCAAACAGGAUUAGAUACCCUGGUAGUCCACGCCGUAAACGAUGAGGGCUAGUUGUCGGGCAGCAUGCUGUUCGGUGACGCAGCUAACGCAUUAAGCCCUCCGCCUGGGGAGUACGGUCGCAAGAUUAAAACUCAAAGGAAUU
Molecule: ribosomal RNA, 551 nt
Filed under: uncultured bacterium
Lineage: Bacteria
Description: bacterial SSU rRNA
Rfam family: Bacterial small subunit ribosomal RNA
Source: RNAcentral